GCCUUCUUAGCUCAGUUGGUAGAGCGCAUGCCUAGUAAGCAUGAGGUCGUCAGUUCGAUUCUGGCAGAAGGCA
Non-coding RNA from Coemansia reversa NRRL 1564, 73 nucleotides. The record is from the annotation of a GenBank genome assembly. Lineage: Eukaryota; Fungi; Kickxellomycota; Kickxellomycetes; Kickxellales; Kickxellaceae.